UCCCCCUGACACUGGGCGAAGAAACACUUUGUUGGCGGUGGUGUUCUUAUAUCAGUCAGGGGCAGAGCAGACAGCAGUCCUUUGUUCAUCCUAGCUUGAUGCCUGGCUUGGUGGCCAAAGCUAUUUUAUACCUACAACUCACAA
Small nucleolar RNA from Grammomys surdaster, 144 nucleotides. RefSeq annotates it as small nucleolar RNA SNORA48. Lineage: Eukaryota; Metazoa; Chordata; Mammalia; Rodentia; Muridae. The record is from RefSeq and is a predicted model, not a curated record. The transcript has a single exon.